UCUUCGUCUCCUACGUUUGCGCGGAUGAAGCCGAUUCAACAGGAAAUCUGCAGCAAAUCGUGGACCACGUCUCUUGCCCAUGAUCCCGUUCGUAAUUUGAAUAACAGUCCUGCAAAGGCAGGACUGGUUGAGGGGCAAGUUUCUCUAUAAAAGGGAGAAGAAAACCUAGAACAAAGAGGGAAAAAGAUCAGAGAAAAAAACACAGCGACGGGGGGAAGAAAAAUAAAACCCAGAAAACCAAAAAGACCCAGAAAAACAGAGCAAUCAACCCAGAAAAACAGAGCACACAAAACACAACCCAAAAAAAAAAAUACAGAGUCAAGAACGGAAAAACUGGAGCCAAAACAAAAGCAAAAACCCCGGAGCAAAGAAAUAAUACACAGAGAGAAGGAGAGGAAAGGAAUCCAGUAUACACAGAGAAUUGUUCCCGCUAUUGCCUUCAUCUCUGCAGACGUCCCUGCAUAAAAAAACCCAACACAAAACCCAGAUCCCGAAUUGGAAGGAGAAGCCAGCACCGUCCUCAAUUCAUCAUCAUAAGGACUGAGAAAGCAGGGAAAAACAAAGAAAAAAGAGAGGACAGUGGGCAUAGAAGCAAAGGAAAGCAGGAGUGAAAGCUAUAAGCGGAGGAGGGCCACCGCGCUGCCACCAUCCGCACCGUCUCCAGAGAUCAGGUAUAUCUUACAAUUCAAAGGAUUGAUUGAUGUGAUUAACUAUUGAAAAGUGAAGAGACAAAAAGAGGACUAGGCUAAGAGAAGAGAUGCUGGUUCAAUUCCAAACUGGAACACCAUUCGGUUAUUGGAUCAUAACUAGAGCUGUAGACCUUGGAUUUUGGUCUGGUUUAUAUGGAUGGAAAGCUAAGACAUAGACCUAAAACUUUCACGGGGAGUCCAAGACUCAAUUCUACCGUUUUCAAGUUCAAAUCUUAGCAACAACGGAGAAGUCGGAAUCUGUCAUGCAGCUCAGACACUGUUCGGUUUUUCAGUUCAUAUGUUGAGUUCUAGAAGUCCAAAUGAGCUCUGGUUUUUUUUGUUGGAAAGCUAAGACAAUUGCCCACAACUUUCAUAGAACAAAGGGCUCUAAUUCUGAUGUUAGCAAUGGCGUUUUGGCCAGCCAACAAUAUCAAUAAUCAGCCAACAAUGUCAAUAACCAGCAGCGAACAAUGUCAAAAACCAGCCACCAAAUCAAUGGUUGCCCACCAACUAAAUAGUUUGUCAACCAAUCAAUAGUUUCAAAUUUUAGCCUAUAAAAGGAGGCAUUUGCCAUGUAUUUAGUCAUCUUGGUUUUCAGAUCAA
Molecule: long non-coding RNA, 1292 nt
Organism: Populus trichocarpa (black cottonwood)
Lineage: Eukaryota; Viridiplantae; Streptophyta; Magnoliopsida; Malpighiales; Salicaceae
Exons: 2
Source: RefSeq, a predicted model, not a curated record